CGGCGAGUAGCGCAGCUGGUAGCGCAACUGGUUUGGGACCAGUGGGUCGGAGGUUCGAAUCCUCUCUCGCCGACCA
Molecule: transfer RNA, 76 nt
Filed under: Pantoea agglomerans
Lineage: Bacteria; Pseudomonadati; Pseudomonadota; Gammaproteobacteria; Enterobacterales; Erwiniaceae
Also listed under: 1 other name
Description: tRNA-Pro
Rfam family: tRNA
About the family: Transfer RNA (tRNA) molecules are approximately 80 nucleotides in length. Their secondary structure includes four short double-helical elements and three loops (D, anti-codon, and T loops). Further hydrogen bonds mediate the characteristic L-shaped molecular structure. tRNAs have two regions of fundamental functional importance: the anti-codon, which is responsible for specific mRNA codon recognition, and the 3' end, to which the tRNAs corresponding amino acid is attached (by aminoacyl-tRNA synthetases). tRNAs cope with the degeneracy of the genetic code in two manners: having more than one tRNA (with a specific anti-codon) for a particular amino acid; and 'wobble' base-pairing, i.e. permitting non-standard base-pairing at the 3rd anti-codon position.
Source: RNAcentral